RNAcentral lists this ribosomal RNA (468 nucleotides) under uncultured bacterium. RNAcentral's name for it is "partial 16S ribosomal RNA". It matches the Rfam family "Bacterial small subunit ribosomal RNA", at positions 28 to 507 of the family's 1533-position model. The record is from RNAcentral.
GACGAACGCUGGCGGCGUGCUUAACACAUGCAAGUCGAACGGAAAGGCCCUGCUUUUGUGGGGUGCUCGAGUGGCGAACGGGUGAGUAACACGUGAGUAACCUGCCCUUGACUUUGGGAUAACUUCAGGAAACUGGGGCUAAUACCGGAUAGGAGUUCCUGCUGCAUGGUGGGGGUUUGAAGGUUUCGGCGGUUGGGGAUGGACUCGCGGCUUAUCAGCUUGUUGGUGGGGUAGUGGCUUACCAAGGCUUUGACGGGUAGCCGGCCUGAGAGGGUGACCGGCCACAUUGGGACUGAGAUACGGCCCAGACUCCUACGGGAGGCAGCAGUGGGGAAUAGUGCACAAUGGGCGGAAGCCUGAUGCAGCAACGCCGCGUGCGGGAUGACGGCCUGCGGGUUGUAAACCGCUUUCGCCUGUGACGAAGCGUGAGUGACGGUAAUGGGUAAAGAAGCACCGGCUAACUACGUG